UUUCUCCUCCUCCAAAUGACGAGUGUGCGUAUUUAAAAGAAGAUGGACAGUAUGUCUCAUAUACCAAUCAGUAACGAGUUUCAUUGUACAAGACUCUAGGUCUGAAGAUGUAGUGUCGCCAUUACUGAUCACAAAUUGUACCAAGUGUAGCUUAGUGUACUAGUUUGGGGGUUGUAUGUGGCGGAACGCUGCCGCUGUAUCGGAAUGCAGUAGUUGCUGUGUGCAAUUUAGAUGUGAUUACAUACAGUCAGUUAUGCACCCGUGUUAGAGGUAAUGGGUUUAAGGGAAACGUUAACGGGGUGAUUUAUGUGCUUGGUUAACUUGUGUAAUGGUGACUUGGCAUAUGGCUUUUAUAUAUUUUCAUCCAUUUAUUCUCAACGACGUAAAAUUAUACACAUUAAUUAGAUCACUGAUCAUGUAAAACGUGGGGAAGGUGUUCAUCAUGUCAUUCGCAGCCAAAAGUAUGUGAACAUCUCUACAUUGGCAUAACAAAGAAAUGAAAGUAUUUUUCACAUUAUCUUGGCAAGACAUUCGGCUGGACAAUUUGUACUAAGUAAACUCUUCUUACCAAGUAUUUGUAAAUGAAAUAAAGCUUACCACCAAA
Molecule: long non-coding RNA, 604 nt
Organism: Protopterus annectens (West African lungfish)
Lineage: Eukaryota; Metazoa; Chordata; Ceratodontiformes; Protopteridae
Exons: 2
Source: RefSeq, a predicted model, not a curated record